CCUCCCAACCCGCGGCAGCACUCUCCGGCCUCCCCCGCUCGCUGCCGUCCCCAUCCCCCUGCGCUCGCCUCUACCGGCCGAGGACCAACCCGCGGGCGCCCUCUCUCUCCCCCGCUCGCCGCCAUCACCCUCUCCCCCCCUCCCCUCGCUGCCGCCGUCGCCCUCCCCCCGCGCUCGCCUCCGCCGGCCGAGGCCCAACCCGCGGGCGCCCCCUCUCUCCCUCGCACGCCUCCGUCGCCCUCUCUCUCCCCCGCCCACUGCCGCCGUCACCCUCCCCACUGCGCCUCCUCCUCCUCCUCCUCCACAAGUUGAGAUGUCCGCAAGUUGCUCGUUGUCGUACUCAGGGUCCAGCUGGUCGUCCUCCAUGUUGCGAAGGGAGGCGACGGAGUUAUCUCAGUAGAAAAUCUAUAAAUGCUAUGUAUAUCUUUCAUUGGAAAUAUAUUCUAAAAAAAGUGUACAAGAUUCCAUAAUAGUAUCAACAUAUAUAUCAGGCCUGCUGUCCCUGGUGGAGCACCGCAAGUGGGAGCGCCUCGCCGUGCGGUUCGACGCGCAGCAGCUCCACGCCGUGGUCGAGGCCGGCAGGCCGCCAUGUUGUGCACGCAGAGCAACGCCGAGAGCCGCCCUGCCAUGGCCGAGGUUGUCGAGAUGCUCAGGUUCAACGGCGAGCAGCGGACGACCAAGGAGAUCGUCCCGGUGUCGGCCGUGAGCAGCGAGGAGGUGACAGACCAGCUGGACGACGUCACCGGAAGCAGCGAGCCCCUGGACAGGCGGAGCUGGAAGCUGACUAAGGGCACGGUGCUAGCAGAAUAACGAUGGGUUUGGAUCAACAGUCCUGACGACAUAGAGAGACAGAACUCCUCGCCCUUAUGAGCAUGACUACCUGACUGAAGCAACUUUGAUACACUUCCUCUCUGUUUGGCUGAUUACCCAAUGUCUAAGUCGCAGUGUCACACCAAUGCUUUGCUCCAGGCCCAGACAUCAACAUGAGCCCUGCCCUUGUCAGUUGUUUGACUCAUAGAGAAUCAUGAGAUUGCCAUGCCCAAGUUGUCAAGGUUAGAAAGGGAUUGGUCAUGGAUGGCAAGGGUUAGAAGUUCGCAUUGCUGUGGUUCUGGUGCACCACCAAUCAUCCCUGGAUUAUUGCUUUUAUCUGAAACUAAAUUCACUUAAGAUUGUGGGACCUGCUGUCUCCGGUUGAUCUGCGUCCAAAAACUGAAGAUUCAUUCACACACUGCAAAGUCAACUUAUCUUGCGCGGCACCAAGAAAGCAUCAUUGGACUUCUGACUGGUGGAUACGGCAUGGCUUACAAGCUUCAGAGACCUGCAGACUUUGUGAUCAGUAAGCUGAAUCUUCUGACCACAUUAUGCUCAGGUGUUCUUUAUCUCUACAGAUUUGGUGGGCGAUAUUAUCUAGACUGGGCUUAAGGAACAUCAGACGCAUGGUGUGAGUUCGUUGUUACAAGAUUGGUGGAUGAACCUGUGGGUGCAUUUACUGGCAGGAAAAUGAAAAUGAAAAGGUCUUGAUUCUCUCGUCACCCUGGUCACCUGGAAUUUGUAGAAGGAAAGGAAUGCACAGGUCUUAUCGAAUGAUGAGGCAAUAGUGCAGCCUUACAUAUGUGUUAUUUGUUUUUUGAUUAAUAACAGAAUAAGCAGAGUAGCUAAAGUCCUCUAGGUUUAUUUAUUGUUGAGAUACAUCCUGAGUUUGUGGGCCAAUGCAAUAAAAACUAUUUUCUUUCUUCUUAA
Panicum hallii is the source of this 1740-nucleotide long non-coding RNA. RefSeq lists it as uncharacterized. The transcript is spliced from 5 exons. The record is from RefSeq and is a predicted model, not a curated record. Lineage: Eukaryota; Viridiplantae; Streptophyta; Magnoliopsida; Poales; Poaceae.